RNAcentral lists this small nuclear RNA (98 nucleotides) under Erinaceus europaeus (western European hedgehog). Lineage: Eukaryota; Metazoa; Chordata; Mammalia; Eulipotyphla; Erinaceidae. The record is from RNAcentral.
GUACUAUGCUAUCUUCGGCAGUACAUAUACUAUGAUAUAGAGAAUCAUGGCCCCUCCUCAAGGAUGACACACAAAUUCGUGAAGCGUUCCAUAUUUUU